This 74-nucleotide transfer RNA is filed under the name Rhipicephalus microplus (southern cattle tick). RNAcentral's name for it is "tRNA-Ile". It matches the Rfam family "tRNA". Rfam says of the family: Transfer RNA (tRNA) molecules are approximately 80 nucleotides in length. Their secondary structure includes four short double-helical elements and three loops (D, anti-codon, and T loops). Further hydrogen bonds mediate the characteristic L-shaped molecular structure. tRNAs have two regions of fundamental functional importance: the anti-codon, which is responsible for specific mRNA codon recognition, and the 3' end, to which the tRNAs corresponding amino acid is attached (by aminoacyl-tRNA synthetases). tRNAs cope with the degeneracy of the genetic code in two manners: having more than one tRNA (with a specific anti-codon) for a particular amino acid; and 'wobble' base-pairing, i.e. permitting non-standard base-pairing at the 3rd anti-codon position. Lineage: Eukaryota; Metazoa; Arthropoda; Arachnida; Ixodida; Ixodidae. The record is from Rfam by way of RNAcentral.
GGCCUGCUAGCUCAGUCGGUUAGAGCGUCGUGCCAAUAACGCGAAGGUGGUAGGUUCGAUCCCUGCGUAGGCGA